AAUAAAACCAAAACAAUCUUUCUAUGAGUCUAAGUUAUGAACCUCAUCAUUGCCACUAAAAUGUCUUUUCAUGUUGACAAUGGAUCAGUUUUUAUACUGCUAAAUAGGAGUAUUCUAGAGGGGAAAGGCUUGUAUAUAAAUUACACCCAUACAUAAUGCAUCAUCAACACCUGCUCUGUCACUGCAGCCAUCUAUCUGCACAGAGCGUGCAAAUGCUGGGCUAUCUGGGUCUAUAUACACUUUGUCUUACAUGUAAAAACAAGGAACUGCAUUGCAUGCAUCAUCAUCAUUUUAACAUUGUCCCUGUACAUGAUCAAAGACAUAUAUAAAAUGGUGAAAUUACAGCACAAAUGAGACUACAACGCACAUAGCUGCUCCCUAAUCUAAACCAAUUUUGUAAUUUGAGGUUAUUCUUCAGAUCUGACCACAUCAUAAACUAUAGUUCAGAAGUUUUAUGUCAGUAAGAUUUUUUAUUUUAUUCAUCAAGGUUGCAUUAAAUUGACCAAAAGUGACAGUAAAGACUUUUACAUUGACAAACAUUUUCCAUUUUAAAUAAACGCAGUCCUUUUGAGCUUUCCAUUCAUUUCUAUGCAAGAAUCCUGAAAAAAAUAUAUCACCGUUUCCACAAAAAAAUAAUAAGCAGCACAACUGUUUUCAACAUUGAUAAGAAAUGUUUCUUGAGCACCAAAUCAGCAUAUUAGAAUGAUUUCUGAAGGAUCACAAAGACUGAAAUAAUUGCUGCUAUAAAAUUCAGCUCUGCCUUCACAGGAAUAAUUUACAGUUUAAUAUAGAACAGUAAUUGUAAAUUGUAUAAUUUCAAAAGAUUACUGCUUUACUGUAUUUUUGAUCAAACAAAUGCAGCCUUGGUGAGAAUAAGAGACUUCUUUCAAAAGCUUAAAAAAUAUUUUAUAUAACUCCAAACUUUUGAAUGGCAGUGUAAACAAGAAAAAAAGCAAAAAAAAAAAAAAAAAGCCUACUGUUGACUGUAACAUGGGUUUUAUAUUUAGAUAUGUUACACAGUUUGCACUUUGGUUUCAUUAUACUUCCUACUAGGGUUUGACAGUACAACUGUAUACACCAUCUCAAGUGUUACAAAAAAAAAAAAAAAAAAAAAAAGGCAUGGUUAUUUCACAUAUACAAUGCCCUCUAAGGGUUUGAAAAUGACGUGAUAUUGAAUAAUAUCAGCACAAACCCUCAUUUCUUAGCAUAAAUCCAUUGAGGUACCUUUUAAUUAUUAUUGCUAUUCUUCAUUGAUGAUUUUCAUCUUGAUUACACAAUAAUGGCAAUAUAAGUGACAGCCAGGCGUGCCCCUUUGGCAGCUGAUUACUGGAUUAAACUGGCCCAGGUUUCAUUUUUAAAGAUUACUGGGUCAAUACACCUUUAUUGUUUUACUGGCUGAUUGCCAAUUAAGUUUAAUAGACAACAGACCAAUUAGAACACAGUUUAGAGAUGCUUUAAAUGGUUCUAGAACUUUGUUCUGAAUUCGUUUUUAUUAUUAUUUAAUAAGAUGUUUUAUUAUAGUCUGCAUUGGCCACAAUCGUCACAAUUUGAUAAGGAUUUUUGCUGAUAUAGUUCAACUCCACUUUGCCCAGUGUGUUUCAAAACUUCGAGGCAAGGGAAUUAUUAAACAAAUUUACUGUAUAAUGACAAUGAAAUGUUGCAAUAUAGUAUUACUCGUACCACCACUCCCACUUGCUGCUACAAGGACCAACUUGCAGCAAUUUCAUGAACUUAAGAGUCUUCCUUGAGUGUUUCAAACACCUUUUCAUGCCACUGCUUCCCUAAAGAGAUCAAGUAGAGGUCAUCUCACUCUCCACCUCUCUCAGUGGGGACAAAAUAGAGAAAGGAGGGGAAGCCAUGGAGAGAAUCAAGUGACUCUGUUCCACUUGCCAAGUUCCUACUCCUGCUACAAAACCACUCCAUCUAAAGAGUCGGCAAAGCGGUCAAUAUCAGUAAGAGAGUUCAUAAAAAAUAAAAUGCUGUCAAUAAAGCUUGGCCAUAAUGACCUUUAUAAUCACUGUGAGUAACAUAUUUACUACAAUCCACUGGUGUAUCACUAUAAACUGCAUCUUCAAUGCAUUUCAGUAGCCACAGGUCAGGUCAGGUCCAUCAAGUCAAGGUUCAGACCCUGUGAAUAUUUUAAUUGCAGAAUGAAUGGGGAUUAUUACUUUGGUCAGACCAUUUAAUUUCUGUUGUCUUUCAUUUCAGAAAAAAAAAAAACAUCUUUCAGAUAGAGUUACCGCUCAGCACAGCUGUGUCAACCAAAACUGCAUUAUGGGUAAGGCCUUUCGCUUGAAACCUGACUGGGUUCAUAAUCAGAAAUUACAUAAACAGGGAAUCCUGGGGUAAAGAAUCCUCUCACUAGUCAUGAGCGCUGGGGACAGCAUGCUAAAGGGGGAGGAGGAGUAUAUGGGCAGGGUUAUGUAAGCAUGCUUCAAUACCCUGUUUCUAUCAACACUGCAGCCAUCUGCACAGGGCAUGAAUCCUCCCAUGAAUUAUAUAUUUAUGCUGAGCUAAGAUAUGAGCUAAUGUGCCAUGAUGGACUGUGGAAACACUCACGUUUCCAUCCACUGAGAAAUAGAAUCUGCAAAAAUAUCACAAUGUCAAACAAGGACUUGUGAUCUAGAAUCCAAUGACCUUCAAAAACAAUUUAGUUUUUUACUUCAAUGAGUUAUUCUUACUGCAAACUGUACGCAAUCAAACAACAUGCUUCACAUGCAGUGAGCAUAAGGCACACAGCCACUUUACUCCUACACUACUGCACAAUAGACGAUAUUCUGGCAUUUACUGCACUAGAAUCCAGUUGAUGCCGUCACCUAUUUUAAGAACCUUUUAAACAUAAUAGUGGGUUCUACACAACUAUUUCCUUCUAAACUCGUUUAACCUAAAUUAAAGGUACACUAUGUAACUUUUUUGGCUCAAAAUUAACAAUUUAAAUAAGUCAAUACAUCAAUCAUUCAUCCAAAUGUGUUUUUGUCUUUCCCUUUCCCUGAUUCACUAUAUUAAGCCUAUUAUAAAUGUUUAUAUUUUAGACCUUAGACAUGUUUUUUGCAGGAAAUUGCGUGCAUACAUCACUCGCCUGUGCGAGUCGCAUCAUAUCUGUAAAUGGAGAACAUGUUGAGUAAUGUGCCGCGUGUGUGUGCCGCGUGGCGUGUUUAUGGCGCGUGUAUGGCCUGUGGCGUGUAUGGCCUGUGGCGUGUAUGGCCUAUGGCGUGUAUGGCCUAUGGCGUGUGGCGUGUAUGGCCUAUGGCGUGUGGCGUGUAUGGCCUAUGGCGUGUGGCGUGUAUGGCCUAUGGCGUGUGGCGUGUAUGGCCUAUGGCGUGUGUGUGGCGUGUGUGCGGCAUGUGGCGUGUAUGGCCUAUGGCGUGGGAGUGGCACAGGUUAGUUGUCAUAGCGAGCGAGAAAGGUUGGCAUGUAGUACAUUAAAUCUCGAACUUCCAGGGAACCACCCUUUUUAAAAGAAUGUGACAAAGCUCGUAAUAAAAUAAGAAGGUGAGAAGGUGCUUUUCAGAAAAGGUGAGAACUGAGGGAUUUGAAAUGUUGUAAAAGUGAAGCAGAUAUGGUAUUUUUAUUACUCAACAUGUGAGUAAGGUAUUUUAUUGAACAGAUAAAUUGCCAUAUGUAGCUCUCUAACAGAAUUAAUUGUUAAGCAUUAUCUAUUGUGAAGUCAUUUUUAUUAUGGUUGUUGUGCUGGAAUUACAAUGUCUAUUUAAUUUAGGUUAAGAAAGAGUUUCUAUUAAAGAUACAGGAACGUUUUCAGCUAGUCUGCUUGAGAUCCUUUCCAUCUAAACUGGUUACAUCUCUUAAGCCUAGUAGUGAAUGAUUUAUGAGCAGUAGGAUAAUCUUAUUUGUGAGAAAGAACCAUAUUCAUCCGCAGUCAUGAAGCACAACCAAAACAUUGGGUCUCAUUCACUACGCAUACGCAAAAAUUUGUGCGCGAAAUGUGCGUAGGAAUGAUUUUAAGACAUCAAAAAUUUCGUACUAAAAUCAUUCUUAAUGUGUGAAAAUAUAGGAACAACUGAAAGCACUCCUACGCAAAAAGAACGCACUUAGCCUACUCUGUACGGCCUUAUAAUCAUGUUAUAUAAAUAUGAAAUUUCAUCCUAGCAAGACUAUAAUUAUAUUAAAGUAAGUUAAAUUAAUUGUAUUAUAUAAUCCAUAUAUAAAAUUAUUAAACAAUACAAUUUAAUCUUAAAAACAUUAUUAUAUAGCCUACAGUGAUUAUGUUCAGCUUCAAAGUUGCUCUGAAUAACGCAGAUAUAUGUGUACAGCUAGCUCAUGAGAGGUCUGUAAUCUGGGUCUGUAUGAAAGGUGUUUAUUGUGAGAAUGGCACGCUUGGCAUUGCUCUAGGACCAGGUGAGAGCACGUCUUUAAACAGCGGCACGUCUGACGAGAGUGACAUAAGCCUGUUAGGAAAGCGUGCGAGGAAAGCCCUUAUAUGGACAUUGUUUGGGCGCGUUUUAUGCAAAUGAUUAACCUCGUGCACACGGCCGCUCAUUUAGAAUACUCCAAAUUCACUAAAAUAAGAACGAGGUUAAGAACAAAUUCAUGUGCAUAUGCAUGUGUUGUGAAUUCUCCUGUGCGCACAAAUCCGAAAUAAUCCACGCAAUUAUUAGUGAAUGAGACCCAAUGUUCUUCAGCAGGCCGUUUUUGGUUUUUAACAGCUAGAGGGCCAAAAGUUACAUAGUGCACCUUUAAGUUAAUUUGUGGAAGCGUUUGUUCAAAAGUUUGGGGUUAGUAAGAUGUUUUUGAAAGUCUCUUAUGCUCACUUAUGAUGCAUUUAUGUGACCAAGAAUACAUUUCCAGUCUUCAGGUGACACAUAAUCCUUCAGAGAUUUUUCUAUACUGUAGGGAUGCAGAGAUAUGAAAACUUUGUCCAAUGUGAUAAUUCUUUAUAUUUGAAAGCCGAUAACCGAUAUAUUGGCCGAUAAAUCUAAAUACAAAUUUGUAUAUAAUUUAAGAGCCUGAUUACAAAAACAAAAAGUUUCACCAUUAAAAGCCAUGUCCCAAGCAAACAAUUAUAAUGUCCUCAUUAUAAUUUUAUGUAGCCUAUAUGAAAGACAUGUUGCAAUUAACUGUAUAUUCGUUUUUGAAGUGACUUCAUAUUUCAAGCAAUUCAAAACCAUCAUGGUGAACAGUGCGCAUCUGAAGUGUCUCAGCUGAAGGAAAUAAUCCAUUAUCAGCUUUGAUAAAUCAGGCAAAUUUUCUUAUUGGGCCGAUAACGAUAACAUUAAAAAUUAACAUAUCGGACGAUACCGAUAUGGUGGCCGAUAUAUCGUGCAUACCUACUGUACUGAUGUGGUGCUCAAGAAACUUUUUUAUUAUUAUUAUCAAUGUUAAAAAUAGUUGUGCUGAUUGAUAUUUUUUAAUACUUGUCAGGAAUCUUUGAUAUAAAGUUCAAAAGAACAGCAUUUAUUUGAAAUAGAAAUCUUUUGUAACAUUAUAAAUGUCUUUACUGUCACUUCUGAUCAAUUUAGCGCAUCCUUGAUAAAUAAAAGAAUUUAAAAAAAUUAUAAUUUGGUUACAUAUUCUACACCAUGGUUCCAAGAGCCAUAGUAUUUCAUUUCUGUCCCUGCCAUCAACUCUGAAUGGAAUUGAUCAAACUUUCAUCAAUUACUUGAGUGCAAUCCAAAGUGACUUAUUUGCCAUUCAGUAACAUUUUGGCACAACUUUUUGAAUCUUAUCAUUUACAUUGCUAUAUUUAUUACCAUAUUUAUAUAAACAACCUUAAAAAAAAAAUUGCAAGGUAUAAUGCAUUUCCAUGUCAACUGUGUCAAUGCAACAUUAAAUAAAAAGUUUACCCCAAAAUUUUAAUUGUCAUUUACAAACUCUCAAAUCAUUCCAAAUUUACAAUGAGAAUAAAAUGACAGAAUUUGUACGAACUAUUCCUUUAAACCUUACAACUACGAAAGGAAAAGGCCAUGUCAACCCACGUGUAUCUAAGCCUCUACACAAAGCAUGUGGUCAGGCUAUCAUAUGGCAAGCAAUCAUUCUCACAUGACCCUUUGAUUUUCAGUUGUCAAGGACAUGUGCAAACACUGUACACUUGUGCUCCACACUAGAAGGUCAGUAGUUAAAAAAUCCAUGAGGUGAGCAUGUUCACAUGGAGUCCUCGCAAACCAUUUGAGCAAAUGUUCUUACACUCUUCCCUACGGACAACCUUAAAAAGUAGCUCAAGAGUGACACAGAGAAAAAGUGUCUGAAAUGAGCAAUUUCAUGAAGAUGCUGCACCAUGGAGAAACUAAAAAUAAAUUAGUCAAAUUACUAACCAGCUGGGUUGACAACAGCAGCUCAGAUGCAUCUCUAAAUAGUGGAAGACAACGCAAUACUUAAAAGUAAAAAUUUUUUAAUCCAAAGAAUAUAAUUAUAAAAAAGGAAAUAUAUAUAUAUAUUUAUUUUUUUUCAGGAAAUUAUAUUUAUAGCCUAAAUUUAUAUUUAAAGUUUAGAAAGAGAUUUAUAAAUGAGUAUUGCGGGCUUCUCAGCUCUCAUUACAACUCAUAAAACCUCCUGGCAAAAGUCAUAUCCAACCUUGUGACUUUAAUGAGAGAGAACAUGCAAUUGUGCUUGGCAUUGUGCCUGAACUUAAGUCAAUCUGAUAUGCAAGACGAUUUCUUGAUACAUGAAUGCUAAACUGUGGCCGACACUUCACCUAUAUUAGAAGCUCACUGAAAGACCCAUAAUAAUCCCAAACCGCCUUAGGGAAGAAGACAUACCAACAAAACCGUUCAGUGCCAAAGCAUCACAUCUCCUAUUAAACUUGGCAAUGCAAAUGGUUUAAUGUGGCACACCUCAAGUGCAAAAGGUUGGUUAUGUCAUUAUUAAAUGUAUUCAUUCGGAUGCCAUGCAUGAGUACUGCUGUUAAUUAGGACUAACCUAUUCAGGGUAAAGUGUAAAGGUGACCUGGAGGACAUGAGGGCUGGUGUACGCCAAGUAAACCCCUAACAUUUGGACAAUCCUCCAUGACAACUGAUUAACUAACACAGAGGGACAGCUACUAGUAACACUUCAUUCACAGUUGUGCGUGAAGUUAUGCCCUUCAGCUGUCCCACGUUUUAAAGUAACAACCUGAGACGCAUGUUUCACCAGAUAACCAGCAAUCUAUCAGUACAGUAAGUCCAAACGAUAGUUCAGUUGCUACAUCAAAGAAGACAUUUAAUUCGAUGCGGCCUCCAUAUCAAAUAAAACUAGGGUGAAAAUAAUGUUAUACAGUGUAAUAGUCAAAAAAUUGACGUAGAUAAUGUGCAUGUCGGUCAUUUACACCUUCACUUCAUGGUCAGCACUCAGUCAUUAGUAAAAUACGACGUAAGUUACUAACCAGGCCGACUGACCUUGAAAUGAUUCACACUGCAGCACAAGCAAAACCCUAUAUGAAGACUCAUAUAACCGGUUACCGAAUUAUCUAGCAUCACAAAGCAGUUCGAUUAAAUGUUUACAUCGUCUACAGCAGUAUUUUAGGCGCGAAUGGUUUCAUAAGUCAUCCCGCUGCCUGCGUAAACCAUUUGAGAGAUUAAAAAAAAAGCCCACAGCCAAACGACUCUCUUACGACGCCGUCAAAUUGUUAAAACACUCAAUGAUAUGAUUAAAACCGGAUUAGCCUUUUAGAAACGGUCUCUUAGGCACAACUGAUUAAAUGAAACUAAACUAUCGUAUUAUGUUCAUUUUCUUUAAAAGGCAUCCAACAAGCGAACAAAGGAGCGCGAGCACGGCGCGCGACUUUUGCCUAUGCGGCCGCGCGAUUCCUGCUGCACGUACAACGUCACCGCGAAAUAACGUUCUUCUGUGGAGUACUGAAGCCGCGAAGAGAUUGAAAUUUGCAAGCUGGCGGACUGAAAGAAAUACAAGAGUCCGAAACCGGCCGGCGUCUUUCGACAUAAGUAUGAGCACUUCCAGGUUCUACGUCCAAACGGCGACUGAGUACUGGCCGAUGCCUGUUCAUGUGAGCAGCACGAGGCAUAUGUGAGAUACAUUGUUGGUCUUACGGGUUUGGAAUGACAUGAGGUGACUACUAAUCUAAACCAGUGGAAGAAUGACACAGACUAUGAGGAGGCUAUGGGGAUCUGAAUGCUGCAACGAUGGGUCUGUCCUCAUCAAACCUACUUCUGAAUAUAACAGAAGAAGCGAAAUCACACUGUGUUAAAGCAUUGCAGUUCUGCAGUAGCAGUCUAUAGAAGCCACGGAAUAAAAGAAUAAAAAAGGUUUUCUCGUAGUCAGCCGGAUCUGGGACAUAUCCAGAUCAGAAGGAGGACCUGCACCUAAACAUGACCACAACACAUCCCUGAAGUGUCAGCAGAGAUUUUGUCAACUAGACCAUCCCAUGUAAAGGCCUCAUCUACAUGACAGCCAGUGGCACAGAUCCCCAACAAAACCGUUUCCAUACCAGCGUGAUGAAUCCGAUCUUCAACCAGAUGGAAUUGGAUUAAAUAUUUUGAAUGUUCUGAUCCAGUCUGACUUCUGACUUGUAAUGCUGCCUGAAUCAUAAAUAAUGCACUGUUCGUUUGUUGGCUGGCUCCCCGACUGAGCCUGGUUUCUCCAAUAUUUAUUUUUUUUAUCUUGUCCAUUCUGUCACCUGAUGGCUCCUUACCGCUGUUGCAUCUGGCUCGCUUAGUCGGGGAUAUUUAACACUCAACAAUAUUACUGAUCUGCCUGCAUUGACACCAUUAUAUGAGAACUGAACUGAGCUGGAUGAUGACAUGACUGUAUAGAUAAAUGAACUAAAUUAAUAACUAAUGAUUUUUACAACGGAAAUGAAUCAAUACUGAACUUCUUAAGCUGGACAAUGACACUAUUUUUGUCUAGAGCUGUUGUACAGCCCAAAUUAUGUUCCUGUUAUCACUGUAAAGCUGCUUUGAAACAAUCUGCAUAGUAAAAAAUGCUAUAUAAAUAAAGGUAACUUGACUAAAAGUGCAUGAUUACUGCUGCGCUCUAUUACAGUCACUGUGUUUGUAAACCUUUUUUUUUUAUUAAAAAAUA
Ctenopharyngodon idella (grass carp) is the source of this 8970-nucleotide long non-coding RNA. RefSeq lists it as uncharacterized. The record is from RefSeq and is a predicted model, not a curated record. Lineage: Eukaryota; Metazoa; Chordata; Actinopteri; Cypriniformes; Xenocyprididae. The transcript is spliced from 5 exons.